CAGUAGCUAGUUAACGUUAGCUACAUGACUUUCUUUAGAGAAGGUUCAAUCUCUGACUUCUCUAGCUACUUGGCUAGACUUGAUCGCAUUGUUUGUAAUAACAUUAUUUAGCGGCAGUUAGUUAUUUAAGACCACGUUAACCUAUUCAUUUUGACCCAUUAUCUGGCAGUUUGAAUAAAACUAGCAAAUUAUCUCUGGUGACAGUCAGCUAGCUAGCUAAGCUAAAGUUAGCGAGCAACCGCGAUAGGAAAGGCAAGAAGGGUGAAAUGACGAGCGUGGACGUGAUUUAUGAAAAGAUUCACUUCAGGCACGAUCCGAAAUUGUCUGUUCAGUGUUCGCAUGGGUCACCCGGACCAGGGCGGCUUGUUGAUCUGCGUCGCUUGUGUCAUUGAGAUGAUGGAAAGCAACAACGUUGCGUCUGUGAGAAAGUCUGUGGCGCUGUCAGGGAUCAGUGGGGUCCUGAAGAGCUGUCCUGGGGCUCUGAAGGAGCUGCUUACUGCAGGACCACAGGGUCUGUCUGCAUUUCACAGCAUCUUUACUGGGGAUGCUUCACACAGUAGAGGACUCAGCCACUCUGGAGGCCAUACAGGUGCUGGUACAGCUGCUCUUGGAGUUACAGAGUGAACAGUAUGUGUGCUACAUCCUGGAUGAGAUAGACACACAAUGCCCCUGUUGGAGCGGUUGUGCGCCACGCUGCUCUACCCAGACGAGGGUCUGAAGGCCUCAGGGGGUGUGGGGGGAGAGGCCCAGUCCCUGCCCUCCCCCCUCAGAGACAGGGUGUGUGUGCUGCUGAUGCAGACCCUGUCCCAUGCCUGCUCCUCAGCUCACCAUCAACUGCCUGGCCACCAUCAUAUUUAGGGGGGCGGUGCUUAUUACCAUAUAAUAAGCGGUAGUAUCAUACGAUAUGUGCAUGUAACCUAACACUUAGUAUGAAUCAGUGAAUAUGGAAGUAUGUUUUCUGUUUGUGUGCCAUGCUUCCUGAAGCAGCUGCAGAAGCUGGGUGAGGUGGUGUCUGUGCUGAUGAACAGCCUCUGUGAACAGAUCCGGUCUGAUCUGGAUCAAGAGCCUGGACCAGGACCAAGAGGCCCAGUCCAGCACCCAGCUCUCCCUGGAGCGCUGCCCACUGCCACUCAUACUCAAAAAGGUUUUCUCCAAUCGACCUGCAUAUUUUGUUAAAAUGUGAUAGCUUCUACUGUUUCUACUGCUGCUAUCUUUGACUGAUUAUGAUUAUGUCAUGACGACUAAUGUGUGUGUAGCUGUUGCUGUGUGGGGAUGAGACAUUGCAGGUGGCCAGUGCUCAGUGUAUGGCUGCUAUCCUGGUCCACUCCCCCAGCCAGUACUGUGCUUCCUUCAUCCAGGCAGACGUACCCGGUGAGGGAACUUGUUUGACGCCACUCUGUGAGCGUAUCUUUCUCUCCUGUGUCUCAUCAUUCUCUCUCUCCCAGAGUUUCUGUUUGAGCGUCUGAACAGUGGCAGUGAGGUGCUGCUGUGGUCCGUCUACAGCUGUCUGCUGCUCACUGAGGAUCCACACUUAUUCUCUCAGUGUCACUCGGUGAAAGAAGACACGCACACACACGCACACACAGAUACACACACGCACACACACGCACACACAGAUACAAACACACACACACACACACACACACACACACACACACACACAC
Long non-coding RNA from Oncorhynchus keta (chum salmon), 1664 nucleotides. RefSeq lists it as uncharacterized. The transcript is spliced from 6 exons. NCBI's taxonomy places the organism in Eukaryota, Metazoa, Chordata, Actinopteri, Salmoniformes, Salmonidae. The record is from RefSeq and is a predicted model, not a curated record.